This 345-nucleotide ribosomal RNA is filed under the name uncultured bacterium. RNAcentral describes it as "bacterial SSU rRNA". It matches the Rfam family "Bacterial small subunit ribosomal RNA", at positions 29 to 395 of the family's 1533-position model. The record is from RNAcentral.
AACGAACGCUGGCGGCAUGCCUAACACAUGCAAGUCGAACGGGAUCCUAGCUUGCUAGGUGAGAGUGGCGGACGGGUGAGUAACACGUGGGAAUCUGCCUUUUGGUUCGGGAUAACCGCGGGAAACUGCGGCUAAUACCGAAUGCCCUCGAGAGAGGAAAGAUUUAUCGCCAGAAGAGGAGCCCGCGUCCGAUUAGGUAGUUGGUGGGGUAAAGCCUACCAAGCCGACGAUCGGGUAGCUGGUCUGAGAGGAUGAUCAGCCACACUGGACUGAGAUACGGCCCAGACUCCUACGGGAGGCAGCAGUGGGGAAUAUUGGACAAUAGGGGCAACCUGAUCCAGCAAU